Molecule: non-coding RNA, 233 nt
Organism: Pelobates cultripes (western spadefoot toad)
Lineage: Eukaryota; Metazoa; Chordata; Amphibia; Anura; Pelobatidae
Source: the annotation of a GenBank genome assembly
GUGAGUGUGUGUCUGUCUGUCAGUGAGUGUGUGUCUGUCAGUGAGUGUUUGUGUGUCUGUCAGGGAGUGGGUUUGUGUCUGUCUGUCAGUGAGUGUGUGUCUGUGUGUGUGUGUCUGUGUCUGUCAGUGAGUGUGUGUGUGUGUGUGUCUAUCAGUGUGUGUCUGAGUAUAUGUGUGUGUCUGUCAGUGAGUGUGUGUCUGAGUAUAUGUGUGUGUCUGUCAGUGAGUGGGUG